Nomia melanderi (Alkali bee) is the source of this 3416-nucleotide non-coding RNA. The record is from RefSeq and is a predicted model, not a curated record. NCBI's taxonomy places the organism in Eukaryota, Metazoa, Arthropoda, Insecta, Hymenoptera, Halictidae.
AGUUCGUAUCGCGACGUAUAUAGGCGUACGGCGUUCCCUUGGGAGGUUACACUACGCGUAUAAUACGCGGCCCUGUUCGAUUCUCGCGAUGGGCCGCGGUGUGGCAUGCAGACCACUGGUGGGAGCAAUUCGUAGCCGUCUCAGGCACGGACCAUCGAUCCCGGAGCCACGUAACUCGAACUUGCCGGUCGGUAUCUCAUUUGUUUCGUCGUUCGAUACUAUCGAACAGAGACGAUUGUCACAGUCAGAUCUUUGUCUUUAUCGACUUAAGCAAUAGUAGUAACAAUAUUGAAACUGUCGUGUCAUACCGUGCGACUGAUAAUAACCACGUGCCCGUUACGUAGUUCGAUUUUCAAAAUAAAUCCCUGGAAUCUUGGGACGAGGAUAACACGAGUACGAAAAUUAAGGGAAAUUAAAUAAACUACCGACGACGAUAAUGCGUCGACGACAAUUCUCUGUAAAUAAACGUACGACGCCCGCCUCUGAAUACGUAUGCACGCGGCGGCAAUAUUACCGAGGAAUUUCAAGAAUCCAACGUCGAACGACUCGCGGCGGUAACGUCGAUUACAUCGAAGACAACGGCGUCAGAUAGGGUUUCGUUUUUGAGGUUAUCGGACGCGAUACCGGAGUUACGUUGCGCGCCGAUUAUCCGUGGAGCACGAGGCAACUAUGUAAGCUCUACGAUGGCAUCAGUUAUAUUAUUAAACAUUUCGAUGAUCAAAAGUGAAAAAACUGCCCUAACAAAAAAUCUAAGAAAUGUUAUAAUAUUUUUUCAUCGUGAGGACUAAAAAUUCCUUGGAGUUGCCGGUAGAUUGAAAAAUCAGGUGGAGUGCUAAGAGUUAAGACAUAGGAAAAUAUCAAUAUUGUCGGUCUACUUAGUACUACCCUCGAAACCUUAGUAUCCAUUAAAUCGAAGCUAAGUUCAACAGAUUGUAGUAAGGCUUUCAAUGAUAUUUAGAAAAUGGAAACUGAACUUUGUUAUACGAGAUACAAUGUAAAGUUCGUAUCCAUGAUGCAGUGAGAUAAUUCGAAGGUUUGGUAAGGUAUCACUUGCGUAAGAAACGAAUCCGAGAAGGAAAUUUGGAAAUGAAAAUAUAGAGUAGAGAGUUACGUUGAGUCAUCGAUGAAUAAUUGAAUUCAGGGUUCUGUCCAGGUAAGGUUUAACCAGUUCAGUGUCUGAUACACGUCACCGUUAAAACCCGAAAUAAUACUAAUUUUUUGAAUAAUUCUUUAUUUCGAUACACCUUCUUAUUAAAAUAUACAAACUCUUAUAUUAGGCAUAUUAGAUUGCUAGAUCACGCUAUAAACAUGCGAUAACUGCGUUGAUACACAACUUGUUAGCAGCAGAAGAUUUAUUCGAAGCAAAUAUUCUCAGGUUACCACUUACCUGUCUCUACUUUCGCCGAGCAUUACACUUUCAACCGCAUUGAAUGUAAAUCUAUUUCAUCGGCAAUUACUGGGAGAUAAAAUAUUUACUGUCUCGGAAACCGUCGAUUUAAGUGUAACCGAGGAAAAUACUGUCAGACCUGUUAUUGCUAUAGUGAUUUGAAACGUGCGCCGCUCGACGAUCUCUCGCCGCUUUAAAUAAUACACGCGACAAUGAAGAUUGAAGAAGAGUAAACCGUUGCAAGGUCACUCUCGGAAUCUAGAUUUCGUUCCAGUUACACACGAUUGGAUACUGCGUAACCGAUUACGUUCAACGGCUGAUUAUGCGAGUGACUUAAAGCUGAAAUUACAGCAGUCGUAUGGAAAGAAUGCAGCUAACGAUGCGUUUUUUUGCCGGCCGGAUUUACCAAUUACGAAACAUUUUUAUAACGCUGAAAUCCGCAGACGGACUAGAAAGUGUAAGUGUCAGCGAUUAUGUAAACGGCGGCUUGACAGCGGACAACUAAAUCUUAAUUGUGAGAAGCAUAGUCGUGCCUGUGAAGUACAUAAACAUAAUAUUUCCAAGGAAGUGAUUCGACUCUUUUAAUUGUUUAGAAACUUUAGAGCUUUGGUCACGUCGAGUGUAGUAAUAUACAAUUGCCAGUCGAGUCUAUAAAGGAAUGUUAAUUGUAAGAAACAUAGUUGUGCGUGUGAAGUAUAUAAAUAUAAUAUUUCCAAGGAAGUGAUUCGACUCUUUUAAUUGUAUAGAAACAUUAGAGCUUUGUUCACAUCGAGUGUAGUACACAAUUGUCAAUAGAGGCUAUAAAGGAAGGAAAAAAAAUAUUCGACUUCAUUAUAACACAACCAGAUAUUUUUUUAUGACUUAUAUAAUUCACAAUAUAACCAAAUAAGUAUAUUAAUUAAUCCUUUAAACAUAAUUUACGUCGAAUGAACGAUAAACUGUAAAAAAUAAAUGGCGAUAGUAUUAUACAUGAAAGAGACAAUAUUCUAUUGUAAUUGAAGUGAAAUAUUCGAUGACUUAUAAUAUUAUAAAAGGAAAAUAUUAGAAAAGGCAAGAGAAAGUUUACACAAUUAUUUUGUUGUGACAAUAAUGUGGAAACAAAUUAUUUACUGUUAGAAAAAGACCUUGGAAAUAUUUCAAAAGGAAUUUCGUGGCACCCGAAAGUCUAACUCGAUCCCCGUCGAAAGUAACCGCACAGUAUCCCGUUCGAAUGUUUCACGUUACCGAGAAAAUGUACUUUUUGGGCGGCGUCCGCUUUAAAGCGGCUACGAACUUGACGUGCGCGCGAGUACCACGCGUGUAACGCGACCGAUUCGAAAAUAGGCGUCUUAUUUUCUGCACGGCUCGGGAGAAAAUAAACGCGAUCUGUGGCAACUUCGAGUUAUUCUUGAUCUGGUACACCAUUACGAGCAUCGUGUCACGCUUAAUCGACUCGCUCAGGCCCCGUCUGAAAAGAAGUUAUUGGGGCUAAUGUUCGUCGAUUAGGUUACAUUAAGACGUCGAUAUUUCGGCGCUCCUGAACGUUAGACGCAACAGAGCACGAUAAGUCGCCGACUCGUUAUCGCCGAUGGGGCUUUAACCUUUGAUUCCCGAUUCUGUCGCGGGCCGGAGUAAUUUAAAUUCCUUUUAGAACACUCGGUGGAUUCCUCUUUGAGCCUGAAUUAAAUUAAACGUCGUUCGGGCGGCGACUGUGUGCGCCAUCGGGCCUACGUGACUCCGUCAGGUCGCGCGGCUGCCGUGGGUGGAUGCACGUCGAUAAAUAUUCAGUGAUAUUCGCGUGUUUUCGUUUUCAUUCUCGUAUUUUUAGACGUCGCGAUAAAGCGUAAUGAAUAUUCGAUGAAUUCUCCGAGACAACUUGAAGAAGCACGGUGCUCUAUUUUAAUCUCUCGCUUCGAAACACGUGCACGAACAAUUUAUGCGAUACCGUCGAAACCGCUUUCUUUUGCUUCUGUAUGGACACGUUAAAUUAGCCUCUAUCAUUGUACAUAUAACGCACUUUCUCUGUUCGAAGGAAACAAUCGUGUAAUGU